GGAUAACCAUUGCCAAGUGUUUUGUGCAGCUGUGCGCAAAAGGUGAAAAGUGUAUUUUUGUGACUGUUGACGCUUCUGGAAGGUGAAUUAUGGCGAAACGGAUGAGGAAAACAAAUUAUUCGCUCCAAGAUGUGCUGGAAGAAUGUACUCGGUGUGAAAGAAACGAUCUGGGAAUGAUGUUUCAGAAGUAAAUAGUGAUGAAUCAUGUAUUGACUCCGAGGCAGAUGCAAUGUUUCUGGAGGGAGGAGACAUUACUCUCGACAAGUGUGACUUGACCUGUGGGGGAGGUGUGUUUCAUUGUGUGAACUGAUGAGAUGUGAGGUGAAGAUCAGCACUGGGCAAUGAAGGACAUCCCAGUUCCACCAGCGGUAAAGGAGUACAACCAGUGCAUCGGUGGAGUGGACCUUUCUGACGCCCUGAUAGGGUACUAUAAAGUCAUCCACAAGACCCAGUAGUGGUACAAGACGUUCUUUUAUCAUUUCAUGGACAUGGCAAAUGUGAACACCUUCCUCCUCCACAAAGACAUUGCAAAAGGUAAAGGAGUGGUACCUAUGCACCAGAAGGCAUUCAGAGAGACCCUUGCUGAGGAGCUGGCAGAGUUAGGGUCUCACUCCACAGCCAGACCCAUAUCUCCUGCUCCAUGUAGAGCACAUCACAGGUCAGUGCAAAUCAGUGGACUCGGCACCGCUGGUCGACUGAAGUGCAGGCAGUGUCAUGCAAAGACACCAGUGAAGUGCUCCUCCUGUGAUGUGCCUUUGUGCUUUGUCCCCAAAUGUGACUGCUACAAUGACUGGCGUGUUGCAAAAAACCUGUAAAAGGUAUAAUUGUAUGGAAAUAUUUAAAGUAUGUAAAUAGUUUGUGUAUUUCUUAUAUAAACUGCUUUUCCACUAUAGCACUUGUUUUGACUCUUAUAUGCACAAAGUUUAGUUUCAAGAAGGGGGGAAAAAAGCACUCUAAUGUGUUUAUUCUUCAGUUACUCUGUGUCAGCAAUACUAAUAGUGGAUCUGUGGGAUAUGGGAUAUGAUAGCUCUAAGUGUCACCUUUCAUUAGAGCCCAAAAUGAUGGUACGUUAAAGUGUUCCAAAGUAGUAGCCUUUUUAUCCUAGGUAUGUGGCCAUGGUUACCAAGGGGCCUUUGGAGUAUCCAAAAGGCACUUUUGGAAAACACCUGAACAUACCCUUAGAAAAACAUGUGUAAAAUAUUUAUUUUCUGUUUUAUUGUUAUAAAAUUUGGACUAGGUAAGGCUUCAUGCUGUGGUCCCAUUGUGUUUUCCAGUUAUAGUCAUCUGCAGGCAUCUGUAUGCAACAAAAUAAAAUUCAGGUGGAAAAAAAAGCACUUACAGUGAUUCUGACUGCUGGGGAAAAAACUUCAGAGUGUCACCUUUUAAAAGAGACCUAAACCAUGCAUGUACUCUAAAUUGUUCAACAACAGCUUUAAAUUUACUUUGGGUAUGCCUUGAAUAGGCAUUUUAGGCUAAUUUUACAGGAUUGGGAAGAGGUUCGAG
Long non-coding RNA from Myxocyprinus asiaticus (Chinese sucker), 1503 nucleotides. RefSeq lists it as uncharacterized. Lineage: Eukaryota; Metazoa; Chordata; Actinopteri; Cypriniformes; Catostomidae. The record is from RefSeq and is a predicted model, not a curated record. The transcript is spliced from 3 exons.